UGGAAACGAUAGCUAAUACCGCAUAAUAUUGAUUAUUGCAUGAUAAUUGAUUGAAAGAUGCUAUUGCAUCACUACCAGAUGGACCUGCGUUGUAUUAGCUAGUAGGUGAGGUAACGGCUCACCUAGGCGACGAUACAUAGCCGACCUGAGAGGGUGAUCGGCCACACUGGGACUGAGACACGGCCCAG
Molecule: ribosomal RNA, 188 nt
Filed under: uncultured Streptococcaceae bacterium
Lineage: Bacteria; Bacillati; Bacillota; Bacilli; Lactobacillales; Streptococcaceae
Description: partial 16S ribosomal RNA
Rfam family: Bacterial small subunit ribosomal RNA
Source: RNAcentral